RNAcentral lists this ribosomal RNA (305 nucleotides) under uncultured bacterium. RNAcentral describes it as "bacterial SSU rRNA". It matches the Rfam family "Bacterial small subunit ribosomal RNA", at positions 333 to 653 of the family's 1533-position model. The record is from RNAcentral.
AUCGUCCUACGGGGGGCAGCAGUAGGGAAUAUUGGGCAAUGGGCGCAAGCCUGACCCAGCAACGCCGCGUGAAGGAAGAAGGCCCUCGGGUUGUAAACUUCUUUUAUCAAGGACGAAACAAAUGACGGUACUUGAUGAAUAAGCCACGGCUAACUACGUGCCAGCAGCCGCGGUAAUACGUAGGUGGCAAGCGUUAUCCGGAUUUACUGGGUGUAAGGGCGUGUAGGCGGGACUGCAAGUCAGAUGUUAAAACCAUGGGCUCAACCCAUUGCCUGCAUUUUAAACUGUAGUUCUUGAGUGUUGGG